Molecule: ribosomal RNA, 254 nt
Filed under: uncultured bacterium
Lineage: Bacteria
Description: partial 16S ribosomal RNA
Rfam family: Bacterial small subunit ribosomal RNA
Source: RNAcentral
UACGGAGGGAGCUAGCGUUGUUCGGAAUUACUGGGCGUAAAGCGCACGUAGGCGGCUCAGCAAGUCAGGGGUGAAAUCCCGGGGCUCAACCCCGGAACUGCCCUUGAAACUGCUAAGCUAGAAUCUUGGAGAGGCGAGUGGAAUUCCGAGUGUAGAGGUGAAAUUCGUAGAUAUUCGGAAGAACACCAAUGGCGAAGGCGACUCGCUGGACAAGUAUUGACGCUGAGGUGCGAAAAGCGUGGGGAGCAAACAGG